Non-coding RNA from Callithrix jacchus (white-tufted-ear marmoset), 578 nucleotides. NCBI's taxonomy places the organism in Eukaryota, Metazoa, Chordata, Mammalia, Primates, Cebidae. The record is from RefSeq and is a predicted model, not a curated record.
GCUGCCCAUGUAAAGUAAGCACCUCCAACUGGGGCAAUAAUUCUAACAACUAGAUAGAGGCCCAAAUGGUGACAUGCCCAGCUGCAGCCCAAUUCUGUGAGGCAUGUCAAAAUUCGAACCAAAGGCAGAGGAAACAUACGUUCCAGAAAUUACAGCUGGAUUCAUGAAUUUUAGAAAGGUCUCACUGGAAGUAUCACCUCCUCUAAGAAGCCCUCCCUUGAUAUCACCUACACAAGCUAAGCAAAGGGAUGCAAUUAUCUCCCGAAGAUGAAUCAGAAAACUGCUGGCAGCUUGGAAACCACAGCCCAUCCGCAUGUUAAGCUGUUUGAGAAAAUGUUGGGGACAGGCUCGUCCAGAACAUCAGGGCAGUGAGCAGAAAGGGGGAGACAUGAGGAAAUGAGUGCAAAGAACCCAGGAGGAAAAACAUCAUCAAUUGAUGAAGCAAAAGAAGCUCUGUUUUGUUCAGUGCGAGUAGAAGCUAUGUUUAACCUGUUCCCACAGCCUUUCCUGUCCUAAAGAGAACCUCCUCCAGAAAAGAUAAUAUUCAUUGUAUUUGAAUAUUUUCUGAAAUAAAAAAG